RNAcentral lists this unclassified non-coding RNA (253 nucleotides) under uncultured Halomonadaceae bacterium. Its description in RNAcentral is "contains 16S-23S intergenic spacer region". It matches the Rfam family "Bacterial small subunit ribosomal RNA", at positions 524 to 776 of the family's 1533-position model. The record is from RNAcentral. Lineage: Bacteria; Pseudomonadati; Pseudomonadota; Gammaproteobacteria; Oceanospirillales; Halomonadaceae.
UACGGGGGGUGUGAUCGUUAAUCGGAAUUACGGGGCGGAAACCGCGCGUAGGCGUCGUGAUAAGCCGGUUGUGAAAGCCCCGGGCUCAACCUGGGAACGGCAUCCGGAACUGUCAGGCUAGAGUGCAGGAGAGGAAGGUAGAAUUCCCGGUGUAGCGGUGAAAUGCGUAGAGAUCGGGAGGAAUACCAGUGGCGAAGGCGGCCUUCUGGACUGACACUGACGCUGAGGUGCGAAAGCGUGGGUAGCAAACAGG